RNAcentral lists this ribosomal RNA (506 nucleotides) under uncultured bacterium. RNAcentral describes it as "partial 16S ribosomal RNA". It matches the Rfam family "Bacterial small subunit ribosomal RNA", at positions 29 to 523 of the family's 1533-position model. The record is from RNAcentral.
AGUGAACGCUGGCGGUAGGCCUAACACAUGCAAGUCGAACGGCAGCACAGGAGAGCUUGCUCUCUGGGUGGCGAGUGGCGGACGGGUGAGGAAUACAUCGGAAUCUACUCUGUCGUGGGGGAUAACGUAGGGAAACUUACGCUAAUACCGCUUACGACCUACGGGUGAAAGCAGGGGACCUUCGGGCCUUGCGCGAAUGAAGGAGCCGAUGUCGGAUUAGCUAGUUGGCGGGGUAAAGGCCCGCCAAGGCGACGAUCCGUAGCUGGUCUGAGAGGAUGAUCAGCCACACUGGAACUGAGACACGGUCCAGACUCCUACGGGAGGCAGCAGUGGGGAAUAUUGGACAAUGGGCGCAAGCCUGAUCCAGCCAUACCGCGUGGGUGAAGAAGGCCUUCGGGUUGUAAAGCCCUUUUGUUGGGAAAGAAAUCCAGCUGGCUAAUACCCGGUUGGGAUGACGGUACCCAAAGAAUAAGCACCGGCUAACUUCGUGCCAGCAGCCGCCGUAA